This 387-nucleotide unclassified non-coding RNA is filed under the name soil metagenome. Its description in RNAcentral is "partial contains 5.8S ribosomal RNA, internal transcribed spacer 2, and large subunit ribosomal RNA". The stretch from base 1 to 120 matches the Rfam family "5.8S ribosomal RNA", at positions 35 to 154 of the family's 154-position model. The record is from RNAcentral.
GAUGAAGAACGUAGCGAAAUGCGAUAAGUAAUGUGAAUUGCAGAAUUCAGUGAAUCAUCGAAUCUUUGAACGCACCUUGCACCCUUUGGUAUUCCGAAGGGUAUGCUCGUUUGAGUGUCAUUGUACUCUCACACUUCUAAUUCCUUUCGGGAUUGGGGGCGGUGGACUUGGGUGUUGCUGCUUUAGUUGUGGCUCACCUCAAAUAAGUUAGUGCAACUCUUGGUUGGACAUAGUACGGCGUGAUAAGUGUCUUCGCCGGCGCCUCUGUAAGGAGGGUGGCCGAUCGGGAGCUCUGUGCUUCAAACCGUCUUCGGACAAUCUUUGACAACUUGACCUCAAAUCGAGUAGGACUACCCGCUGAACUUAAGCAUAUCAAUAAGCGGAGGA